Molecule: ribosomal RNA, 253 nt
Filed under: uncultured bacterium
Lineage: Bacteria
Description: partial 16S ribosomal RNA
Rfam family: Bacterial small subunit ribosomal RNA
Source: RNAcentral
UACAGAGGGUGCAAGCGUUGUUCGGAAUUAUUGGGCGUAAAGCGCGUGUAGGCGGCCUUGCAAGUUGGGUGUGAAAGCCCUCGGCUUAACCGAGGAAGUGCGCCCAAAACUACGAGGCUUGAGUGCCGGAGAGGGUGGCGGAAUUCCCGGUGUAGAGGUGAAAUUCGUAGAUAUCGGGAGGAACACCAGCGGCGAAGGCGGCCACCUGGACGGUAACUGACGCUGAGACGCGAAAGCGUGGGGAGCAAACAGG